Molecule: long non-coding RNA, 1804 nt
Organism: Lolium rigidum
Lineage: Eukaryota; Viridiplantae; Streptophyta; Magnoliopsida; Poales; Poaceae
Exons: 2
Source: RefSeq, a predicted model, not a curated record
GGGAGGAAGGCUCGCUCGACGGUGAAGGGUGAGCCGCGCGGUGGAGCUGCGUGAUCUGCCGUCGGGCUGGGAGGUUUCCGAUCGGGCGGAGAGCUCUAGGCGUAGAUCGCGCGACGGUGGGAAGCAACACAACGGGCUAGAUCUAGUUGCAUGCGUCGUUCUGCUGUGAGGUGACGGGAGUUCUCUGAAGAUUCUAGCGACAACAGUUACAGGGGUAUCUCCGGUGCUAAUCUCCUUCAAUCACGUGCUAUUCUGCAUGCUAUAAUGAAUAAGGAGACAGACAAGCAUUCCCGACUGCGGCUACCAUUGUCCCAGUCCAAACAGAUGUUCCUAGCGCAUUUAGGAAGACUACCAUUGUCCCAACUGCAAAUUUGGCACCAAAAACUGCUCCUGCACGACCCUUUAAGGUGGUGUUUUGUUACUGUACUUUCACUUUAACCUGUCUAAUUCUAAUUCAACUAGUAAGUAAUACAUGCUGGAUAAGCAACCUAAAAAAACAAAAAAAUGUCAGUUUAUCUUGCAAUUAUAAGAAGGUAUCUACAUUUUGUAGCAAUGCAAUUUCAUUUUUUUAUCUGCCAUGCAACUACUUUCAGACUUCUCUUCUCUGGUCACUUGAAAAUGGUUUUCAUUGUUGAAUAAUGGAAGACACCUAAAUUGCAAUCUGAUCUAAUGUAUGUUGCAAGUUCAUAAUAACCAAGUUGGUUUCCCAAGGAAGCAUAAGUUGCAUUUUACUUUUUCAAAUAAUUCGGCUACUGAAACUAUGCAAGUUGAAUUCACUACUACCAUACUUAAGUUGUUUCAUCACCAUGCUUAAGUUGCCUAAAAAAUAACACCCAACUUGGAUUCAGCAACAUGAUCAAGUGGAGUAGUGAAUAAUACCCCGAGUUGAAUUAACUAGCGUACUAAAGUUCUUGUCAUAACCAUACUUAAGUUGGCUCAGUAAAGACCCAAGUUGAUUUAAGAAUCUUGCUAAAGUUGGAUUUUCACAGUACCCUAGUUUUUUUCCCCGUCAUUUCUAGCAAAAUGUAAAAGUUUAGGUACAUAUGCAAGUCCUGGUUUUGAGUAUGUUAUUCACUUUAGAUAUGCCCAGAGAUAACAUUAACAUCAGAGUUGAAUAAUGGGAGACACCUAAAUUGUAACACUUCCUCCAGUUCAUAUUAGUUGACUCAACGUGUUUGUUGAUUAGAUAUAUUUGUAUCUAGACAAAGUUGAGUCAAUUAAUUUGGAUCAGCGAGAGUAUGUUUUAGUGUAUGUUGCAGAGUCACACUAACCAAGUUGAUUUUCCCAAGGAAGCCUAAGUUGCACUUUUUACUUCUCUAAAAGAAUUAUUUCUAUGCAGAACAUUUUCUUUUAUAGGAACAUGAAGGGGAGGAUAACAGAGUUUACCUUUGAGAUUCUUUUUAUGCAGGAUAGCAUGUAUUGGAGUUCUAACUUCUUCAGACAAUUCCUGAGAUCCAAGGAGGUCUGGAGGAGGAAGAAGGGCUGGAAUUCUUCUUUCAGAAGAAGCAUCUGGACAAGAGGGAUGGUGAGAGAGAGGGGUGGUUGGGGGGCGGUACCCAUCUGAGGUGGUAGAUAAAGACAAGGUCUUUCUGUUUUUGCAUCGUCUGUAUUAAACUAUUUUGUCUGGACACGACCUUUUUACCAAUCGAGUGCUGGGCUGGACAACCUAGCAUCCGGAUGCUAGACCGGACAAACGAGCACCCUGAUGCUGGGUUUGGCAAACUAGCACCCGGGUGCUGGGUCGGGCAAACCAGCACCGGAUGCUGCCUAGCCACGUCCUAAAUUAUAGUGAUGGUUACCCUUA